Non-coding RNA from Caenorhabditis elegans, 21 nucleotides. Lineage: Eukaryota; Metazoa; Nematoda; Chromadorea; Rhabditida; Rhabditidae. The record is from Ensembl.
UACGUUUUCAAUGCUGAGCCC